GACAGGAAGACAUCUCUCCCUCUUUCUUAUCUUCAUUUUUUUGGCUUUCUUCCUCCCACCGGAUGCAUUAUUUCCAGAACGGCAACGGAGAGCGACACAACCCCCCCACACACAUAGAGGACUUACCCAACUCUGCACUUUGUUGCUUAGCUUGACUUUCUUGCACUGGCUUGCGGGUAAAUCCAUUUGCAGAGAGUGGGGGAGCCGCGGGGUUGGAAGAGGAAGGAAGGAAAGAAAGAAAGCCACAGCCAAGACAGGCGCCCCGAGCGCAACAAUUCGACACAGUACGGAAGAAGAAGGAGAAAAUAUAAAGCCCGGAGGGGAGGGACGGAGGAAGAGAGAGAGAGAGGAAGGAUGGAUGCUGUGUGCUUAAGAUGCCGAUUUGGUGGAGAUUCCUGACCAGGCUGCGCACAAACCCGGCUUGUAAAACGAAGAGGAGGGGAGUAGGUGGGGCACGCGCAAAAGACGAGAAGGGACCGAAAGGGAGGAGCAAGAACGAAGCAGGGAGGGCUGAAGCGCGCGCAGAAGCGCGUUCCCGUUUCCCCCUACUGCCACGCCGCCCAGCGCUUCCUGCGGCUUCUCUGCGUGCGCCUGCCCAGCAAGCAAAUUGACGCUAGAGAAGGAAAAAAAGGGGGCGGUGCCAAGUCGGAUCCGGCGUAUAGAGAGAAGGAAUGGGAUGGCCAGUGCUUCCGGGUUUGCCGCUCUAGGUUCCUCCUCUUCUUCUUCGUUUUCUUGGUUUACUGGCGUUGCAAGACUGCCUUCGAGCCCUGUGAACUUGGUAUGAUUUCAAGAGCGGUGUUCCUGGCAGACACUCUGCUUGAUUGGUUUUUGCAGCUCCUGGCUCGGUGCCCGUUGGUACUCCCUCUGAUUACAAGAAAGCGGCUUUACUGGGGCAGAUGCUGUUCCUGAGAGAAUAAUCACCAAAGCCUAAAUGGACUAAGACUCCUACUUUUUCCAUCUAAGCUAGAGCCUAUGUUUCCUGAACAUAUGAAGGUCAGGGAUUAGUAGAUUCCUGCAUAUCCACCAUUACUGAGCUUUAACCUCUAGCAGAGGCAGCAUGGCAGAUUCUGUUCCUGAGAGGAUCAUCACCAAAAACUAAAUGGACUAAGACUCCUACUUUUUCCAUCUAAGCUAGAGCCUACGUUUCCUGGUUACCUCACUCAUGGCAGCCCUUAACAGGGUCCCCAAGUGAAGAAACUAACAGCUGUGCUUACACACUGAGGAAGAAUGCUGUCAAUAGUUAACAUUUCUUCAUUCCCUCCAGAGAAAAAACAGUCACGACAUCUUGAGGAUCCCUUUCAUUAUACACUUUUGCUUUUUUCCACUUAAAAGCAAGGAAAACAUCUUUUAAGCAUGG
Rhineura floridana is the source of this 1357-nucleotide long non-coding RNA. RefSeq lists it as uncharacterized. Lineage: Eukaryota; Metazoa; Chordata; Lepidosauria; Squamata; Rhineuridae. The transcript is spliced from 5 exons. The record is from RefSeq and is a predicted model, not a curated record.